UUUUGAGAAAUAUUGUAGAUUUAGGUUUCUGAUUUAGAAAUUCGGAUAACAAGAAUAUUUUUGGAUAGAUGAGUAUUCUUUAAGAAUUUUUCAUCAAUAUUUUGUAUUUUUAAAUAAUUUUUUUAAAAACUGGUAUUUUUGGAAAAUUUUCAUUUAUUAGAGAAGUAGUAUAUAUUUAAGUUUUUGAUUUAGAAAUUAGGAUAACAAAAGUAUUUAAGGAUAUAUGAGUAUUAUUUCAGAAUUUUUCAUCAAUGUGUUGUAUUUUUAAACAAAUUUCUUAAAAGCUGCUAUUUUUGAAAAGUUUUCAUCUAUUAGAGAAAGACUGUAGAUUUGAGCUUGUGAUUUAGAAAUUAGGAUGACAAGAAUAUUUGUGGAUAGUUUAUUAUUAUUCAGAGUUUUUCAUCAGUAUGUUGUAUUUUAAAAUAAUUUUUUAAAAACUGCUAUUUUUGGAAAGUUUUCAUUUAUUAGAGAAAUACUGUAAAUUAGAGUUUUGUGAUUUAGAAAUUAAGAUAACAAGAAUAUUUGUUGAUAAUUGAGUAUUCUUUCAGAAAUUUUCAUCAAUAUGUUGUAUUUUUAAAUAAUUUUCUAAUAAGUUGCUACUUUGGAAAGUUCUCAUUUAAUAGAGAAAUAUUUUAGAUUUGAGUUCAUGAUUUAGAAAUUAGCAUAACAAGAAUAUUUGUGGAUAUAUGAGUAUUCUUUCGGAGAUUUUCAUCAAUAGAUUGUAUUUUUAAAUAGUUUUCUUAAAAACUGUUAUUUUUGGAAAGUUUUCAUUAUUAGAGAAAUACUGUAGAUUUAGGUUUGUGAUUUAGAAAUUAGGAUAACAAAAAUAUUUUUGGAUAGAUGAGUAUUCUUUUGGAGUUUUUCAUCAAUAAAUUGUAUUUUUAAAUAGAAAGUUUUGAUUUUUUGAGAAAUGUUGUAGAUUUAGGUUUGUGAUUUAGAAAUUAGGAUAACAAAAAUAAUUUUGGAUAGAUGAGUAUUCUUUAUGAGUUUUUAAUCAGUAGGUUGUAUUUUUAAAUAAUUUUUCUUA
RNAcentral lists this long non-coding RNA (1027 nucleotides) under Brassica napus (rape). RNAcentral describes it as "long non-coding RNA (BNAP_LNC000756)". The record is from RNAcentral. Lineage: Eukaryota; Viridiplantae; Streptophyta; Magnoliopsida; Brassicales; Brassicaceae.